ACGGGAGGCAGCAGUGGGGAGUAUUGCACAAUGGGGGAAACCCUGAUGCAGCGACGCCGCGUGAGUGAAGAAGUAUUUCGGUAUGUAAAGCUCUAUCAGCAGGAAAGAAAAAAAUGACGGUACCUGACUAAGAAGCCCCGGCUAACUACGUGCCAGCAGCCGCGAUAAUACGUAGAGGGCAAGCGUUACCCGGAUUUACUGGGUGUAAAGGGAGCGUAGACGGCAAAGCAAGUCUGAAGUGAAAUGCGGGGGCUUAACCCCUGAACUGCUUUGGAAACUGUUUAGCUAGAGUGCAGGAGAGGUAAGCGGGAUUCCUAGUGUAGCGGUGAAAUGCGUAGAUAUUAGGAGGAACACCAGUGGCGAAGGCGGCUUACUGGACUGUAACUGACGUUGAGGCUCGAAAGCGUGGGGAGCAAACAGGAUUAGAUACCCUGGUA
This 437-nucleotide ribosomal RNA is filed under the name uncultured Clostridium sp. RNAcentral's name for it is "partial 16S ribosomal RNA". It matches the Rfam family "Bacterial small subunit ribosomal RNA", at positions 341 to 792 of the family's 1533-position model. The record is from RNAcentral. Lineage: Bacteria; Bacillati; Bacillota; Clostridia; Eubacteriales; Clostridiaceae.